GACGAACGCUGGCGGCGUGCUUAACACAUGCAAGUCGAACGGUGAAGCGCCUUCCUUUUUGGUGGGUGUGGAUGAGUGGCGAACGGGUGAGUAACACGUGAGUAACCUGCCCCCUUCUUCUAGAUAACCGCAUGAAAGUGUGGCUAAUACGGGAUAUUCUGGGUCUGUCGCAUGAUGGGUCUGGGAAAGAUAUUGUUUCGGUGGGGGAUGGGCUCGCGGCCUAUCAGCUUGUUGGUGGGGUGAUGGCCUACCAAGGCGGUGACGGGUAGCCGGCCUGAGAGGGUGGACGGUCACACUGGGACUGAGACACGGCCCAGACUCCUACGGGAGGCAGCAGUGGGGAAUAGUGCACAAUGGGCGCAAGCCUGAUGCAGCGACGCCGCGUGAGGGAUGGAGGCCUUCGGGUUGUGAACCUCUUUCGCCAGUGAAGCAGGCCUGCCUCGUUUGUGGGUGGGUUGACGGUAGCUGGAUAAGAAGCGCCGGCUAACUACGUG
This 494-nucleotide ribosomal RNA is filed under the name uncultured bacterium. RNAcentral describes it as "partial 16S ribosomal RNA". It matches the Rfam family "Bacterial small subunit ribosomal RNA", at positions 28 to 507 of the family's 1533-position model. The record is from RNAcentral.